Molecule: long non-coding RNA, 299 nt
Organism: Nematostella vectensis (starlet sea anemone)
Lineage: Eukaryota; Metazoa; Cnidaria; Anthozoa; Actiniaria; Edwardsiidae
Exons: 2
Source: RefSeq, a predicted model, not a curated record
UCUAAUUUUUCCCGCGUUUUGUCUUCUAACUCGCGGCCGACACCGUGAAUUGAUAAAGUUUUUGCAUUAUUUUCGUCGUGGCUAAAGCCAAGAAAGAAAUUCGACACAUUUUAACACUUUUAUAAUUAAAAGACGUACAAACGAUGGAUGGAAGGACAAAGGAUGGGUUUGGAAAAAGAAGGCGAAUCCCAACUCAAGCAAGCUGCCAGCUUUAAAGGCAUGAUGCUAGGGCAGGAUGUAUUCAUUAAUACAGCUAAGUAACAAAAAGAUAGAUAAUAGUUACAAAUGAAAACUUGUUA